AGUGCUGGGAGAUGUUAUCACG
RNAcentral lists this microRNA (22 nucleotides) under Ornithorhynchus anatinus (platypus). Its description in RNAcentral is "oan-miR-1419b-5p". The record is from miRBase by way of RNAcentral. Lineage: Eukaryota; Metazoa; Chordata; Mammalia; Monotremata; Ornithorhynchidae.